Molecule: ribosomal RNA, 512 nt
Filed under: uncultured Glomus
Lineage: Eukaryota; Fungi; Glomeromycota; Glomeromycetes; Glomerales; Glomeraceae
Description: SSU rRNA
Rfam family: Eukaryotic small subunit ribosomal RNA
Source: RNAcentral
AGCAGCCGCGGUAAUUCCAGCUCCAAUAGCGUAUAUUAAAGUUGUUGCAGUUAAAAAGCUCGUAGUUGAAUUUCGGGGUUAGUAAGUUGGUCAUGCCUCCGGUAUGCACUGGCUUUACUGAUUCCUCCUUCUUGAUGAACUGUAAUGUCAUUAAUUUGGUGUUGCAAGGAAUCAGGACUGUUACUUUGAAAAAUUAGAGUGUUUAAAGCAGGCAUACGCUUGAAUACAUUAGCAUGGAAUAAUGAAAUAGGACGUUUGAUCCUAUUUUGUUGGUUUCUAGGAUUGACGUAAUGAUUAAUAGGGAUAGUUGGGGGCAUUAGUAUUCAAUUGUCAGAGGUGAAAUUCUUGGAUUUAUUGAAGACUAACUACUGCGAAAGCAUUUGCCAAGGAUGUUUUCAUUAAUCAAGAACGAAAGUUAGGGGAUCGAAGACGAUCAGAUACCGUCGUAGUCUUAACCAUAAACUAUGCCGACUAGGGAUCGGAUGAUGUUAUUUUUAAUGACUCAUUCGGCG